This 378-nucleotide unclassified non-coding RNA is filed under the name uncultured Gammaproteobacteria bacterium. RNAcentral describes it as "contains 16S-23S intergenic spacer region". Lineage: Bacteria; Pseudomonadati; Pseudomonadota; Gammaproteobacteria. The record is from RNAcentral.
UCCGGUUUGUCACCGGCAGUCUCCUUAGAGUUCCCACCAUUACGUGCUGGCAACUAAGGACAAGGGUUGCGCUCGUUGCGGGACUUAACCCAACAUCUCACGACACGAGCUGACGACAGCCAUGCAGCACCUGUCUCUCGGUUCCCGAAGGCACCAAGGCAUCUCUGCCAAGUUCCGAGGAUGUCAAGGCCAGGUAAGGUUCUUCGCGUUGCAUCGAAUUAAACCACAUGCUCCACCGCUUGUGCGGGCCCCCGUCAAUUACUUUGAGUUUCAACCUUGCGGCCGUACUCCCCAGGCGGAGAACUUAACGCGUUAGCUACGUCACCGGAUGGCUGACCCUCCCGACGACUAGUUCUCAUCGUUUACGGCGUGGACUAC